Poeciliopsis prolifica (blackstripe livebearer) is the source of this 343-nucleotide long non-coding RNA. RefSeq lists it as uncharacterized. Lineage: Eukaryota; Metazoa; Chordata; Actinopteri; Cyprinodontiformes; Poeciliidae. The transcript is spliced from 3 exons. The record is from RefSeq and is a predicted model, not a curated record.
UUCAAUAUUCAAUAUUAUCUGUGUUUUUAUAGCUGGAAUGUCAACUCAACAUCAAGAAGAGCUGAAAGUUUAGAGCUAUCUUUCAAGAAAUUAUUCUAUUUUUAUCAUUCUUAUUAAUAGAUAAUGAUAAAUAAUCAUUACUGAAUAUUACAAUGGAAAAUUGUUAAUCAUAGCAAUGAAUGUAGUGGUUUAAAUCUUCCUAAACAAGAAACAAGUCUUUUGUGAUAGAGAUUAAUUAAAUUAAUGUUCAAUGAUAUCUCUCUGUGUUUCCAUAGCUGGUGUGAUCACUAAUAAUCAAACUGGAGUGACAACGCAGACAACUACAGCUGGAAGGACAACUCAG